GGAGGGUGCGAGCGUUAAUCGGAAUUACUGGGCGUAAAGAGCACGUAGGUGGUUGUUUAAGUUGGCUGUGAAAUACCUGGGCUUAACCUGGGCAGGCCAGCCGAAACUGGGCAACUAGAGUACAGUAGAGGGAAGUGGAAUUUCCGGUGUAGCGGUGAAAUGCGUAGAUAUCGGAAGGAACAUCAGUGGCGAAGGCGACUUUCUGGACUGAUACUGACACUGAGGUGCGAAAGCGUGGGUAGCGAACAGGGAUUAGAUACCCUGGUAGUCCACGCCGUAAACGAUGAGAACUAGCUGUUGGGAGAGCGAUCUUUUAGUGGCGCAGCUAACGCGUUAAGUUCUCCGCCUGGGGAUACGACCGCAAGGUUA
RNAcentral lists this ribosomal RNA (369 nucleotides) under uncultured organism. RNAcentral's name for it is "partial 16S ribosomal RNA". It matches the Rfam family "Bacterial small subunit ribosomal RNA", at positions 527 to 896 of the family's 1533-position model. The record is from RNAcentral.